This 573-nucleotide ribosomal RNA is filed under the name Triticum aestivum (bread wheat). RNAcentral describes it as "partial small subunit ribosomal RNA". Lineage: Eukaryota; Viridiplantae; Streptophyta; Magnoliopsida; Poales; Poaceae. The record is from RNAcentral.
AUGGUACACCGGUGUGCUGCUGCACUGUUGCCUAGACAGCAAGGAAGGGCUUCAGACAUACCCGGAUAUCGGUCUGCCUUCGGCACCACCGGUGGCAUAGCCAUCUCGAUAAUCCUGUAUGUGGAACUAUAUGCCUGCUGCAUCGAGUAUUUGAUACUGGAAAGCGACAAUUUAUCCAAGUUGUUCCCCAAUGUACACCUUAACAUUGGGGGCUUGACGAUAAACUCGCAUGUGUUCUUCGCAAUCUUGAUGACGCUUGUUGUCAUGCCGACCACCUGGCUCCGUGACCUCACCUGUCUGAGCUAUAUUUCUGCUGGAGGUGUGGUUGCAUCAAUCCUUGCAGUCAUCAGCUUAUGCUGGAUUGGGGUUGUCGACCAUGUCGGCUUUGAGAACAAAGGGACUGCGUUAAACCUCCCGGGAAUUCCUAUUGCGAUUGGACUGUACGGUUACUGCUACUCGGGGCACGGGGUGUUCCCAAACAUCUACUCUUCUCUGAGGAAUCGCAACCAGUUUCCUUCCAUUCUUUUCACCUGCAUUGGUUCUCUACCAUUUUGUUUACUGCCACUGCGGUGA